GCGUCGGUGGCUCAGUGGUUAAGCAGUUGACUUGUAAUCUACAGGUCCUGGAUUCGAAUCCCGGCAUGUA
Molecule: transfer RNA, 70 nt
Filed under: Papilio machaon (common yellow swallowtail)
Lineage: Eukaryota; Metazoa; Arthropoda; Insecta; Lepidoptera; Papilionidae
Rfam family: tRNA
About the family: Transfer RNA (tRNA) molecules are approximately 80 nucleotides in length. Their secondary structure includes four short double-helical elements and three loops (D, anti-codon, and T loops).
Source: Rfam by way of RNAcentral